This is a long non-coding RNA of Juglans microcarpa x Juglans regia, 294 nucleotides long. RefSeq lists it as uncharacterized. NCBI's taxonomy places the organism in Eukaryota, Viridiplantae, Streptophyta, Magnoliopsida, Fagales, Juglandaceae. The record is from RefSeq and is a predicted model, not a curated record. The transcript has 3 exons.
AGAAGAGAAAAAUAAAAAUUUUCCUAAGGCAUUUUCCCCUCCCAUAACCAUCGACCCUCACCCAAGAGAAAAGAAAUAAAUCUUCACUCCCUUUCCAAGCAAGCUAAAGCCUAUCCUCUAUUCUUCUCCUCUCUUUUGUUCUUCAAGAAACCAAACUCUUCUCAUCAUCUUCAAGCUUAUGACUCCAUAGCAAGUGAUAUCGUGUUGCUCUUCAUCCACAUGGCUAUACCUCUAUUUGGUCUUCCACUUGUGUUCUGAAAGGAGCUAAGAACUUAAGGUAAUGAUGAAAAGGCU